AGACUCAUUAUUUUUUUAGUAGCAUAAGCCCAUUAUUAUUUUUUCUAACUUACUGCUAUCCAUGUUUCCAAAUAAUACUAUUUUUUUAAUUACUAUUCAUAUUGCCAAACAAUCCUAAUGUGUACUUCAACUUUAAUAAUAUAGAUAAUUAAGUUAGUAGUAUGAGAAAUAAUAGGAAUUCUAGUUAAAUGAAAUGGUUCAACUAUGACUUGUUUUAAGUAGAUUUUUUAGGACUCCUUCCCUUUUAAUAGUAUUGAUUUAGAUUGUUUUUAUUUCUUCUAUUCCCAUUAUUUAUCAGUGUGUACAUAUAGUAAUCGAUUGGUUUAACUGAUAUUACUGGUGUUUGUAUUAAUAAAGUAACGGUUUCUAGUAGUUUUGCAACAACAUAGUUCUUUAUUACUUCAAUUACCUCUAAAUGUAACAUUUUUAAAUUGACCUAUGUUUCAUGCAUUGUUUGUUAAAUAAAUAUUAAUAAUGUUUCAUGUGUAUUGCACCCAAAUUAAAAACAUUAGUAGUUUUUUUUUUGUUUUAUCCUUGUUAUUUAUAUUAUUUUGUUUAAAAUUAUUAUUUAAUAAACUAAAAAUUAGAGUAAAAACUGAAAGUUUAUUUAAUAUGUAUCAAAAAUUUAAAAUCCAUCUAUAAUAUUAAAACAGAAAGCCAUUUGUGAAGUCCCCUUCUAUUUUGUGGAAAUUACCGAGUUUUUAAAUAAUAUAUUUUUUCUAAAAUCCAAACUGAAUUAUAUACCGGGUCUACUGGUUCGACCGUGGAUCUAGGUAGGGUUUCAAAACAGUGGUUUUGACAUUCAAUAGGUUGGUUAGAAAGUUUUAUAAACUACGUUUAGUUUACUUUUAUAAUACUAGCAAAUUCUAGAUUUCUAGCAUUUUAAUAAAAUAAUUAAAUUCCACCUGUACUAUACAGUUGUUGUUAUUAGUAUUGAUGUCUUGUGUUGAACUAUUAUCUUCUUUUUUGUGGUAGUCUGUGACUAGAGUGAAGCCAUAUAUAUGCACAAUGCCAUUGAAGAUGGAUGAGGGGUGGAAUCAGAUCCAGCUGAACUUACCUGAUCUUACUAGCAGAGCUUAUGGGACUAAUUACGCUGAGACUUUGCGAGUUCAGGUUCAUGCUAACUGCCGUCUUAGAAGGAUAUACUUUGCUCACCGUCUUUACUCAGAUGAAGAGCUCCCUCCGGAGUUCAAGCUCUAUCUCUCUGUGCAGAAAGCAUGAAAAGUUAUUCCGAGUGUUUAUGUCUUGUCAGAUAGACCUAGAGCAUUUACAUUAGGUGAGAGUUUCAAGAUGGCUUGUAGCAUCCAUGCCAUGGUAUGUGGAAUUUGUCAUACCUUGAGCAGCUUGUGACUUGAUAACUUAAGUUUUGUUAAGUCUUUAUGAAAAAGGAUCAUGUAUGCUUUAAGAUUUUCAAUGUAUGAUUAAAAUGAUGUGAAUACCUCAUGUUGUGUACAACUUUGCGGGAAUUAAACAUUCAAAGGGAGUGCUAAUUUCAAUUUAUUAAACAUUAAACAUUCAAAGGGAUUGCUAAUUUCAUGGUA
This is a long non-coding RNA of Brassica napus (rape), 1541 nucleotides long. RefSeq lists it as uncharacterized. NCBI's taxonomy places the organism in Eukaryota, Viridiplantae, Streptophyta, Magnoliopsida, Brassicales, Brassicaceae. The record is from RefSeq and is a predicted model, not a curated record. The transcript is spliced from 2 exons.